RNAcentral lists this ribosomal RNA (253 nucleotides) under uncultured bacterium. RNAcentral's name for it is "partial 16S ribosomal RNA". It matches the Rfam family "Bacterial small subunit ribosomal RNA", at positions 524 to 776 of the family's 1533-position model. The record is from RNAcentral.
UACGAAGGGUGCAAACGUUAUUCGGAAUAAUUGGGCGUAAAGGGUGCGCAGGCUGUAUGUUAAGUCAACCGUUAAAGUCCCCGGCCUAACUGGGGGUAUGCGGUAGAUACUGGCAAACUAGAGUGUGGGAGAGAGAAGUGGAAUUCUCGGAGUAGCGGUAAAAUGCGUAGAGAUCGGGAAGAAUACCUGUGGCGAAGGCGGCCAGCUGGGCCAGAUCCGACACUGAGGCGCGAAAGCGUGGGGAGCAAACAGG